AACCUUUGCAAUGUGCGCAAGCACGACAAGGUUAAUCCGAGUGUUUCCUGCUAAAGGAAUCUUUUGUUAGUCGUAAAACCACUGAUGAAUAAGGGGUGGGCAAGUUCUGGUGUCAGCCGCCGCGGUAAAACCAGCACCUCAAGUGGUCAGGAGGAUUAUUGGGCCUAAAGCAUCCGUAGCCUGCUCUAUAAGUUUCCGGUUAAAUCCAUUCGCUCAACUGAUGGGCCGCCGGAAAAACUGUAGAGCUAGGGAGUGGGAGAGGUAGACGGUACUCGGUAGGAAGGGGUAAAAUCCUUUGAUCUAUCGAUGACCACCUGUGGCGAAGGCGGUCUACCAGAACACGUUCGACGGUGAGGGAUGAAAGCUGGGGGAGCAAACCGGAUUAGAUACCCGGGUAGUCCCAGCCGUAAACGAUGCAGACUCGGUGAUGCGUUGGCUUGUGGCCAGUGCAGUGCCGCAGGGAAGCCGUUAAGUUUGCCACCUGGGAAGUACGUACGCAAGUAUGAAACUUAAAGGAAUUGGCGGGGGAGCAC
This 533-nucleotide ribosomal RNA is filed under the name uncultured archaeon. RNAcentral's name for it is "bacterial SSU rRNA". It matches the Rfam family "Archaeal small subunit ribosomal RNA", at positions 345 to 879 of the family's 1478-position model. The record is from RNAcentral.